Long non-coding RNA from Triticum aestivum (bread wheat), 795 nucleotides. RefSeq lists it as uncharacterized. NCBI's taxonomy places the organism in Eukaryota, Viridiplantae, Streptophyta, Magnoliopsida, Poales, Poaceae. The record is from RefSeq and is a predicted model, not a curated record. The transcript has 3 exons.
UACACGUCCUAUCGUGUCUGGCGUCCUCCUACAUAUGCUCGCGCCUAGCGUACUCGCCUACCACGUGAUCAGGCUUGCCCCAUCCACCCAAGCUGGAUGCAAUUCAAAAUUCGACGCAGUUGCAGGUGUAUCGACCGGCGGAACCACGUCCUCCCCAUCGCCGCGCCUGGAUCUCAAGAUUUCUUCAUGAUUCACCAAUGAAUCUCGGUGGGGAGUCAUUCACGGAUCUCCUGUUCAGAUCUGGCAUUGCUAGAGGAAGGGGAGAAGGACGACGAGUGUGGGGGUCGAGGGACAUAUGGCGUUACCGGUUCUCCUUCCUCAAGUUCUGCAUCUCAAGUUCAUGUCCCAGAUAUUGACAACACCGACAGUCACAGAGAACCCCCAUCUGAAUAGCAGCGCACUCCAACUCCGUGGCGUCAAAGGCUCAGAAAUGGACAUUCGCUCCUUGGCCCUUUAUAUUGAAUCCCAUCAAUGUCGGCGAUUCCAGUGCACUUUGCCCCAUGUCAGAGAACAAUCAAGGCAUUGUCGUCACCGCCAAGAUCUCUUCCGCCGCUAGGAUGACUUCAAGUGUGCGACGACACGGGCCUUCACCAGGCUACAUAAGCAGUAGCUGCAACCCAGCUAAAAUCAAGAAUUGAUGCUCAAAAAAAAAAAGCUAAAAUCAAGAAUUAAUUAAGACCUUCGUAUUUUUGUACUGAUCCGUGAGUUGAGUUGGCAAAUAAGAAAAUUAAGUUCUCUCCCCGUUUGCUCUUCUGUCAGCUUUGUGGGCGAUUGUUCUACUAUUAUUCUCCUAAG